RNAcentral lists this transfer RNA (64 nucleotides) under Helorus sp. ZJUH_2016017. RNAcentral describes it as "tRNA-Asp". Lineage: Eukaryota; Metazoa; Arthropoda; Insecta; Hymenoptera; Heloridae. The record is from RNAcentral.
AAAGAAUUAGAUAAAAAAUAUCAUAAAUUCGUCAAAUUUAAAUUAAAAUUAAAAUUAUUCUUUA